CUUGUCGAGCAGAUAUAUAUAUAUAUAUAUAUAUAUAGACUCUGCCAAAUUUGCCUUCUCCAAGCGGCAUCCCGAUCUCGAAAUAUGUUAGGGUCCAUUGCUUCUCUCUGUAUCUCCACCAUCACAUUUUGUCGAUUUCUCUCACUCAUUUUUUUUUGUUGCCGAUCACAGUACUAGCACUUUUUACUGGUAAGAGACCACAGCGAGAAGGAAAGUAAAAAAACUUUUAAGGAAUUCAAAAGGUCUCCCUUCAACGCAACGUUUCGUAAAUUUCUUUUUUUAAUUCCCAAGGAGAGUUCACAACCCUUUUAUUAAAUGACGAAUUUACCCUCCUUACGAUCUUUCACUGUAAUCAAUCAAGAGCACUUGUGUUUUUUUUUUUACAAAGGUGAUUAAGAUUCCACUCACUCUCACCCUCGAAUUAACCCCAAUUCGAGAUACAUGAACAAGAAAGAAGAAGAAGAAGUAGAAGAGAAGAAAUAACCCAAAAAAAACCAGAACUCUCUCACUAGCUCUCUGUUUCAAUCUCAUCUCUAUCUCUAGAGACUAGACUCUCUCUCGAAGAACGGAAGAAGAAGAUGAAUCUUUUAAUCUUCUCGUCUUGUGUGUUCUUCUCUCUCUAUAUAAGAAAUCUCUUUUACAUGAAGCGGCAUCGUCCUGUCUCUUUUAGCCUCUUGUCACGUGUACCCCCACGUGUCUCUUCUUAUCAGUUAUUUCAUACGAGAUCCUCUCUUUCCAACAGCAGCUUUCUCUCCUAAAGCUUCUCUCUUUUGCAGUCUUAUUUCUUUCAUGUAAAUUUAGCUUAUUAUUACCAAGAAGAUAAUUAGUGUUUUUUCAUGAGUGAUAUAUUGAUGUUGGAUGUCUAUGCAAGUUGAAUACAACUGUGUAUCACUUUAUCUUAUAUAUUAUUAUCACGAGUUUUUAGAGAGUUGGUUGUCUUCUCUGCUAGAUUCAAAUUAUCCUUUGGGUAACAAAUUAUUCAAUGGAGUUCUAACACUGCGCCUUCACAUGCCAGAUUCGAGAAAGAAAAGGGAAUUUGCAGCACGGUGGAAGAACAAGUUGAGUAAUAAUAAUAAGACUAACGGUUAAAUGUCUAUGGUCUGUAUCCUUAUGAUACUGCUCGAGCCGUUAAAAGGCACUUCUGGAAGCAUGAGGAUCUUUCCUAUAGGACGUACCUCUGUUUCCUUGAUUUCUAAGGAGACAGGCCCCUUAACCCUGGUUGAUGAACCACGACCGUGCGACCAGAGCGUUAUUGAUGGCCAACGAUAGUCUUAGGACGCAUCUGAUGCUGUCGAGGAUCGUUACUCGGCUCGGUUCUACCUGGCCGGGGUGUUCGCACGGUGGUCUGACAGAUCAUAAAAACCUAGAAAUAAAAGAACCAGCCAUACCAUGUCAAUAUCUUCCAUGACUCGUUGGAACAAAGAAGCUGGAGGUAUCCAGAUGGCAAUUGCAUUUGUUGCAACAAACCUUGUUGCAUUUUGUUUGAUCAGAGGCAGUUGAGUUUGACAAACCAAAGCCUAUGCUGGUCUGGUUGCAGUUAGUUAUUGUUCCUAGAGGCGUAUAUAGAUUGCAGGAGCAUUGUCUUUCUCUUUUAGUGUUAAACACGAGAGACAUAUUGUGGAUA
Small nucleolar RNA from Camelina sativa (false flax), 1624 nucleotides. RefSeq annotates it as small nucleolar RNA U3. NCBI's taxonomy places the organism in Eukaryota, Viridiplantae, Streptophyta, Magnoliopsida, Brassicales, Brassicaceae. The record is from RefSeq and is a predicted model, not a curated record.